UUCUUGCUUUUUAGCAAGUAGUCCCUGCUCAGUGAUUAUUAAAUAGCCGCGGUAAUUUGACUGUGCUAAGGUAGCGUAAUCAUUAGUCUUUUAAUUAAGGUCUAGAAUGAAUGGGUUAACGACAGGGGGUGGUAAUAGGAUAAUUUAAUGAAGUUUUAGUUUAAGUGAAAAUACUUAAUAUUAUUUAAAGACGGAAAGACCCUGGAAGUUUUAUAAUAUUUUAUUUCAUUGGGGUAAUGGCUGGAGCUUAGGUUUUAGUGGGGCAGAAAAAUUACUCCAGGGAUAACAGGACAAUUUAGAAGGUCAGUUCGUAUGUAUUUUUAAGAUUGUUACCUCGAUGUUGGAUCAUCCUUUCCCAAGGUGUUUUUGGGUUCUAGGUCUGUUCGACCAUAAAAGGUUACGU
Molecule: ribosomal RNA, 403 nt
Filed under: Moniliformis moniliformis
Lineage: Eukaryota; Metazoa; Acanthocephala; Archiacanthocephala; Moniliformida; Moniliformidae
Description: partial 16S ribosomal RNA
Rfam family: Bacterial large subunit ribosomal RNA
Source: RNAcentral